Long non-coding RNA from Cavia porcellus (domestic guinea pig), 6335 nucleotides. RefSeq lists it as uncharacterized. The record is from RefSeq and is a predicted model, not a curated record. Lineage: Eukaryota; Metazoa; Chordata; Mammalia; Rodentia; Caviidae. The transcript is spliced from 2 exons.
AGUAACUGAUGCGUGUAAAAAUCUAGUUUCUACUAGAUGAAAAACAGGGCAUUCAUGUCUUUAUAAUCGAUUGCAUGCUUUUUAAUCUCGAGUAACUCUGAGCCUAACCGGGAGACAUAAAAACACAACGAACUUGAAUAGGAGAAGUUUGAUAUGAAGACCGGCCGACUGUCAACCAUUACUGGAGUCAGGAAGAGUCGCCUGAUGGUUGGGGACACCAAGCCAUCACACACAGGAACAUGCUGCAGAGAGCAGGGCCAGGCCAGCGCUGAGAUCCGAGGGGCAGAGCAGCCCCUCUUCUCUCAGCCUGAGAUCCAGACUCUGUCAAGAGAGAAAUUAUCUCAGUUCCCAGGGAGACAGCGAAGUUGCUAUGGAAACUCGUCACGCAGAGGGAGGCUCACCAGUGACCUCUUUCAGGAACCUGCCCAGGGUGACCUUGGGUCCCAGGGCUCGGCAGAAGCCUGGUGCUGGAGGAGGACUGCAGACAGCAGAGCAGGAGGCUCCAACCCUGGAACAGGUAGCUAGUGACACUCGCGGAGCCCCAGAGGCGGGGAUGCACUGUGUCACCCCACGCCACAUGCAGCAGGCGAGGACACACAGGGCAUCUGAAGGUGCCGAGACCUCUCAUCUAUGCUGGGGGUCACCAGGUAGUGCCUUGGCUGGGACCUCAGUCACCAGAUACCAGAUGGAGGCCACCAGGGAGCCAAGCUCACCAGAAGAUUAGGAAGGAAUCUUGGGCACAGUGCUGCAGCUGGUGGUUCCAGGGCACCAAAGACUCCCGAUUUCAUGUUCUUUUCUAAGUCAAGCCAUUGGCUGCUUUUACAGCAACUCAAUCUUGCCUGAUGUAAGCUUUUCAAAGACCACUCACGCCACUGCACAGAGAUGUGAGAUGCAGGGGAAAACUGCGUGGUGGGAGACAGCUGAUUCUGAGACAUGACACCGACAUUCAACUCUAUUAAAAGUUCAGAAAAGAUAAGGAAAGAAAAUUAUAAUUGUCUUCCACAUAGAAACCUUUGAUGACCCUUAUCUGAGCCGUUAAAGUAAUAGGAAACAAGCACUCAUAACACUGAAAGAAAAUUGGAAAUGUAUAAGAUAAAGGUGGAGAGAGUUCUGUGCGGGGGUUGAGGGUAAUUUUUAUUCAAGACAAGACUCCACUGUUAAGAGAUGGUUUGGGACAUAUCUGUGUGCUGCUCAUGACCCAGUCACAAAACACAAGUUUAUACGGCAGGGCCGAGUGGGUGAUUUGCAGGACAGAUUUCCAGACUGAGGUGCAAACAAGCUUGGACUGAGAAAAUGGGUUCGUCUUGGGAGAAGUGAGCUGCUUUACCCUCAGCAUGGCCACCCGAAUCCUGAGUCAUUCAGAAGCUAUUUAAAAGUACUCUCCUUGUGGUUAUGAAAAGACACAAAAUUACUUCAGAUUCCAUGUAAGAAAUAGCAAGUACAAAAUAAUGAAAUGUUCAUAAAAUGGCUCAAACAAAUGUACACAGAGGCACAAUGACUGAUGUUUCCUGCUCCAAACCACUGUCAAUUAUUCGUCACACAUGCUGUGUGUAAUCUUUAUGAUUAGGUGCUGUGGCUUGUGUCUAGAUGUCCCCUCAAAGCCCCAUGCAAUCUUAGGGUGUUUUGGGGAGGUGCUGGAUCCAGAGUGUGUGACUGAGUCACAGUGCAAUACUGAGAUUCAGGGUGCUGGCUGGGACCAAGGGUGGGUGAUUGCUGGAUCAGCCCAUUGGCUAGAUUGGCACUGAACCAAUCCUGGUAGACUGGAUACCGUCUAAGGGACAGAAAGAGGCCUGUCUUUCUCUCUGUCAUUGCGUUUUGCUGUCUUUCAUGGCCACGAACUGUUACCCCUCUGCACCCUACCUUGGUGUGAGCCUGUUAAGGAUUGAAAUCUCGACUACUGUGAACUAAAGAAACCUUUCCUUCUUUGAGUGUCUGGUCUUUUGUCUCAGCAGUAAGAGAAACGGGACUAAGAUACCAUGUACCUAAAGGUCUAUAGUUUUUACCUUCAAGCCACCAGGUUCGCUCAGCUGGUCCGAGAUGGCAGGUUUGGGGCUGAGCACAGACCUAGAAGGCUUUAACAUAGCACGCAGAUGGGAUCUGCACCCAGCGGAUUCCCUUUCCAGGGAGGUUGGCAGCCGGGUCAUCUUCCCUUCCCACCAAGGCCUUUUUGCUUCAUUUCUUUUCUUUUUUAACUUCUUCUGAGGACUGUUUUGCUUUCCAGUCAUGUGGCAACAGACCUCAUAUUUCUUGCCAUUUCUCUGCUGAAAUCGCUAACUAGGGGACUGGAAAGCUUUGCUUGGACUUGCGCUGACCAUGUUUUUCAAAUCUGUAAUUUCUCUUCCAAAUGGUUAUUUUGGAUCCUUCCAGGAGGAUCCACUAAGGCAAGGGAAAUGGAGUUUUCAGGAACCAAGAACCCAGCUUCCAGCGACUCCCUGUCUGUCUCCAAGGUUCGUUAACUUUUAGACUGCAAGAGACCAGGAUGGUUAAAACAAACAAACCUGACAACACGAACACGAACAACUGCAUGAGCCCCUCUCACCGGUUAGCACUGGCGUAGCUCUUACCGCUGCAGGACCUGCUCUUAUUCCAAGAAGGAAAUACAGAACAAAGACUCUAUUCACUGUGCAGCCCACGUAAUUUGGAGAUGAUCUCCUUGCAGCACGGCCUGACUUAUCCCUCUCCUUUUGCCCAUUCGGGUCCAAUUUUUCUAAUUGCCUGUGAAUAAGAAAGCCAAAGCCUUUGGGGGUUUUAUGGUGCUCAUGCAGUUACGUGAGUGCAAGUCCCUUCUAAUACAGUCCCAUUACCACCGCUGCUGCCACAGUCCAAGCCACCGCAUUGGCUAUCCUGAGACAUCCAUGUUGUGCUCUGGUUUCUUUUUGAAAAAUAAGGAGGAACGUACUUGAGAUAGCAGCCGCAUGUUAGGGGAUCCUGGGAUAUCCAGGCUUCUCCAUGAUAUUUCACGACUCCUUAAAGUGCCUCCAAAGAAUCACACUUCAAAUAUAAUCAACAAUACCAAGUGGUGGCAAAACCUAGCACCGAGCCCUUAGAGCCAUCAGAUUAAAAAUUCCUGCACGGAUCAAGAAAACCAACAACAAAUGCUGGAGAGACUGUGGGGGAAAAGGAACUCUCCUACACUGUUGGUGGGAGUGUAGACUGGUACAACGUUUGUGGAGGUCAGUCUGGAGAUUUCUCAAAAAGCUGGGAUUGGAAGUCCCAUUUGUUCCAGCUAUUCUACUUCUAGGCAUAUUCCCAGAAGAACUGAAAGCAUCAUACCACAGUGAUAUAUGUGCACCUAUAUUUAUAGCAGCACAAUUUGUAAUCGCCAGAUCUUAGAAACAACCCAGGUGUCCAUCAACUGAGGAAUGGAUAAAAAAGUUGUGGUAUUUCUAUACAAUGGAGAAUUACUCAGCUAUAAAGAAGGAUCACAUUGAGAUAUUUAUCAAUAAAUGGGUGCAGCUUGAGACUAUACUCAUAAGUAAAAUAAAUCAAUCUCGCAUGUGUGAAUACCGAAUAGUUUCCCUAAUGUAAGUAAUGAUUCAAAUAUAUAAAAGUAUGUGGUAAUCAUGAUUCCCCAUUAUGUGGCCUUGAAGCCUUAUAAAGUUUUCACUUAUUAAUUGGAAAGGCUUUAUUCUGGACUUCUUGAUAUGGAAAUAUUUGAAGCUAUAGUAUAUAAAGUUAUAUUCAAAUAUUUCAAGGAAAAAGACAAACACUAUGGUAACUACUAUUAAGUCGGGUUAUUUGGUAGUAAAGCACUAGGUUGCUGAAACAGUCAUGCUUUGACCUGUAUUGUUAUGUUGUUAUGCCUUUUUUAAAUCUCAAUCUCUCCCUUAUUCAUUAAAAAAAUUAUUUAGUUAUUUUUUAUGGGUUUUUUGAUUAAAGGGAAAAAUUUUAAAAAAUUAGCAGGAUAUAUUAUAGUAACUUUUUUUGAUUUCCUAUCAACUUGAUUAGAAGUCCUGUAAUACUCCCACUAUCUUGUUUUGACUGAUUAGACUCUGUUCUGUUUGUAUGAUAGUAUCAAGUUUGAGGGUAUAGGCAACUACUUUGAAGGCAAUAAGAUUCACUAAGAUGCCCAUUCUGGUUUGACUAUUAUCUCCUUUGGAAGUCCUAUAAUGUUUACAAUGUUUAAGUUUUAUUGGUCUUGUUCUCUACUGUUUUGUUCAACUUUAUAAUACCUAAUGAGAUAGACAAUUCUUUAUAAGGAAGCAAGAGGCAUUAUGGUAACCAUUGCUGAUAAUCUUGUACUCUGUUUUUACAUCAUGUGCUGUGUCUAUCUUUGGUUUUGACUGACAGCUUUGUUUUGCCAUAUUUGACUUUAUUCUCUUCCAAAAAAAAAGUAAUAAGAACUAAGGAGUAAUAAAACCCAAAAUGUGUAAAUUUUGUUGUAAAAAGAGAGGGAAAAAAAGUGAUCUAAAGGCUACAACUGCAAGUGUGUUUAGGGGUGUUAAAUAGCUGACCAUAUUAAUGUUUUUGGUGGGAUCAUUGAACACAACUGUUUGCAGUCUCUGUUUGAAUGUUCACUUUGUGUGCUUUGAUACUGUGACUUGAGCAACUAUCUCUAAGACGAUAAUGUGUAAUCUAUUAACUGGUGAUUUCUUACUGUUAAUUUUUUUUUUUUGUAGUUCUGUAUUACCUGUACCCUUACACUACUUUGUUUUGUUUUGUUUUUUCUCUUUUUCCUUUUAAAUAAAAUUAGAAAAUAAAAAAAUUAAAUUAAAUUUUAAAACAAUUCCUGCACUGGGUGGGGCCAGAUCUCUGCUCUGCUCUGCUGUGCUCUGCAGACUGAUUCUUCAGGGAGGUGGGAGCCAACACAAAUGUAAAACCCAGGACACAAAACAGCACAGAAGAGGAAAGGAAAAAAUUGCCAGAUAACCAAUAAACAUGCACAAGCAUCUGUUUUGAGCCACCAGUGGUUAUAUUAGCGCUCGUAAAUAAACAUAGCAAAGGGAUUGGCCUGUGGUCGUUUUCUCUCCCAACAUCCCAGUUUCUUAAACUGUUCAUUGGUUUAGGAAAUGGGAGAGAACUAUUUUCUUGGAUAAAUCUGUGUAUUUGGCAUCAACAUACACUGGAGAGCUUUUAAAAAUAUAACACUAUACAUGUGUCUUAGUUACAUUUUACUUGUCACUGAGACAAAAUACCUGAUGCCUAGGGAAAGGAUGUUGGGAAGGAAAGGUUUAUUUCUUACAGGUUUUGAAGGUUUCAGUCCAUACUCAGUUGGCUCCAAGGCUGGGUGGCAUGGCGGGGCCGCAGUUCAUGGUGGCUGCAAACAGCAAGAAACAGGCAAGACAGAGACACACCUUCUUCUGCCAUUACAUUGUAAGCUGGCUCCACCCCUAGGUGGGUGUAGCACUGGCCCCCCCCCCCCCAUCCAAGCUCUAGACAAUGAAUCAAUCACAAAUGCACAAUGCAAAUGCAUGAGGCCUGGGGGCCACCAACAUAAACCAUGACAACACGUAAGAGACUUAAAAUUAUAUAACUUAUGAAAGUAACAGGGUUCGGUGACGUCUUACAACUUUACGGAUUUUACCUGUUAUUAUCUACUCUCAUCAGUUCCUAUCUGUUCUCUUAGCGAAGUGUCAACUUCUCUGUAAGGUAAAAUAAAUGCUCACAUAUUCUGGUUUCAUACAAUUUUUAUGAACAGACAAAUUGUGUUCAGAAUGAAGUGAAAUUAAAAUAUAGUAUUCAUAAAACUGACCCAUUUUGCUCUGCUUUGAUAACUAAGGCAUUAUAAUUUAUAUAACCAUAGCUAUAAAUUCUUCGUGUAAGUGUAAAAUCGUAAUUCCGCAAGUUGCAGGUCCCUGAGACAAUGCAGUGUAUGCUUGACACAUAUUUUGGUACACUGAGUGCUACGUAAUUGUUACUCUUUUAGCUUUGGGAACAAUCUAUUGAUCGGCCCUCAGGGAACGGUCCGGUCCCUUCAUGUCAUGGGACAUGAUGUCAGGUAGCACCCAGAGCAACGCUGCUUGGGACCCUUCACAGAGCGGUAACUUACCUUUGUAUAUGGCUUCAAUUCAGCACCAAACUUAGCUAGAAGAGAAAGUGGAAUCACAUCUCCCCACUUUCUACCCCCAGGAUGACUUCAUGUGGGCAUCUAAUGCCUUCUGCACAUAUUUUAAUUUUCUUUGGUUUUGUUUUUCUAUUUAUGUUUUUAAGAAUCAUAAUUAAAUUUGCACUAAGAAAAAUAAACAUAACGAUGUGUUAAAACAGUAAUAACUUAGAUCAGGAAUGCUUCUGUUUGUGAAAAAUUCACUUUGUAAAAAGAAGUGUGGCAAAAUUUUUCUGCUACUCACAAACUCCAUGCGGACUGAUGAACACAACCGUAGUAAUCUUCCCCAAAA